This 497-nucleotide ribosomal RNA is filed under the name uncultured bacterium. Its description in RNAcentral is "partial 16S ribosomal RNA". It matches the Rfam family "Bacterial small subunit ribosomal RNA", at positions 28 to 507 of the family's 1533-position model. The record is from RNAcentral.
GAUGAACGCUGGCGGCGUGCCUAAUACAUGCAAGUCGAGCGAACAGACGAGGAGCUUGCUCCUCUGACGUUAGCGGCGGACGGGUGAGUAACACGUGGAUAACCUACCUAUAAGACUGGGAUAACUUCGGGAAACCGGAGCUAAUACCGGAUAAUAUAUUGAACCGCAUGGUUCAAUAGUGAAAGACGGUUUUGCUGUCACUUAUAGAUGGAUCCGCGCCGCAUUAGCUAGUUGGUAAGGUAACGGCUUACAAAGGCGACGAUGCGUAGCCGACCUGAGAGGGUGAUCGGCCACACUGGAACUGAGACACGGUCCAGACUCCUACGGGAGGCAGCAGUAGGGAAUCCUCCGCAAUGGGGGAAAGCCUGACGGAGCAACGCCGCGUGAGUGAUGAAGGUCUUCGGAUCGUAAAACUCUGUUAUUAGGGAAGAACAAAUGUGUAAGUAACUAUGCACGUCUUGACGGUACCUAAUCAGAAAGCCACGGCUAACUACGUG